Molecule: unclassified non-coding RNA, 279 nt
Filed under: plant metagenome
Description: partial contains small subunit ribosomal RNA, internal transcribed spacer 1, and 5.8S ribosomal RNA
Source: RNAcentral
UUUCCGUAGGUGAACCUGCGGAAGGAUCAUUAUUAAUUAAGCGAGGUACGAGGCUUUUCGCUAAUCCGAAUGGACGUGCACUGCCGAGUUCGCUCACACCCAUCCAUCCCACCCCUAUGUACACCACCGCGUGCGUCCACCUAUGUCUUUUUCGGAUAGUGGCUUACGUUUUCACACAAACUAUGUAUGCAGUAUGGAAUGUAUGUUUUGUUCUUGCAAUCACACCAUCAAUAAACCGUACAACAACGGAUCUCUUUGCUGUCACACCGAUGAAGAACG